GCAUAUCAAUAAGCGGAGGAAAAGAAACCAACAGGGAUUGCCCUAGUAACGGCGAGUGAAGCGGCAACAGCUCAAAUUUGAAAUCUGGCUUUCGGGCCCGAGUUGUAAUUUGUAGAGGAUACUUUUGAUGCGGUGCCUUCCGAGUUCCCUGGAACGGGACGCCAUAGAGGGUGAGAGCCCCGUCUGGUUGGAUGCCAAAUCUCUGUAAAGUUCCUUCGACGAGUCGAGUAGUUUGGGAAUGCUGCUCUAAAUGGGAGGUAUAUGUCUUCUAAAGCUAAAUAUUGGCCAGAGACCGAUAGCGCACAAGUAGAGUGAUCGAAAGAUGAAAAGCACUUUGAAAAGAGAGUUAAAAAGUACGUGAAAUUGUUGAAAGGGAAGCGUUUAUGACCAGACUUGGACUUGGUUAAUCAUCUGGGGUUCUCCCCAGUGCACUUUUCCAGUUCAGGCCAGCAUCAGUUUUCGCCGGGGGAUAAAGGCUUCGGGAAUGUAGCUCUCUUCGGGGAGUGUUAUAGCCCGUUGUGUAAUACCCUGGCGGAGACUGAGGUUCGCGCUUCUGCAAGGAUGCUGGCGUAAUGGUCAUCAACGACCCGUCUUGAAACACGGACCAAGGAGUCGUCUUCGUAUGCGAGUGUUCGGGUGUCAAACCCCUACGCGUAAUGAAAGUGAACGCAGGUGAGAGCUUCGGCGCAUCAUCGACCGAUCCUGAUGUUCUCGGAUGGAUUUGAGUAAGAGCAUACGGGGCCGGACCCGAAAGAAGGUGAACUAUGCCUGUAUAGGGUGAAGCCAGAGGAAACUCUGGUGGAGGCUCGCAGCGGUUCUGACGUGYAAAUCGAUCGUCAAAUAUGGGCAUGGGGGCGAAAGACUAAUCGAACCUUCUAGUAGCUGGUUUCCGCCGA
RNAcentral lists this ribosomal RNA (896 nucleotides) under Fusarium reticulatum var. negundinis. RNAcentral's name for it is "LSU rRNA". It matches the Rfam family "Eukaryotic large subunit ribosomal RNA", at positions 38 to 964 of the family's 3401-position model. Lineage: Eukaryota; Fungi; Ascomycota; Sordariomycetes; Hypocreales; Nectriaceae. The record is from RNAcentral.